AAAGGGCACAUGAGGCCCAGGCAGAGGCCGCUCGCGUCUCAUAAACUGUGCCCUCUCUCUCUACCCCUUUCGUCGUUCAAUUCAAUUACAGGGCACACACCUGCCCUCCCUUUGAAUAGUUUAAAUUACAUGUGAAAUGAUAGCAAUCUGGAGUCUAGAAGAAAGUUGUAGGUGUUUAUGUAACAUUUUAUGCACACACACACACAAAGUCAGCAAUCCCCAUGGCAACGGGCCUGCCGCCUGUGUUUCUGGAGACAAUUCAAGAAGCAAGGAGGAAAGAGCAACGCCGGGUGACUGAAUUUCAGGGGUUUGCAGGAAACCUUUCCAGACAUAGCAAAUGUCGUAAACAGGCAAAGGACAGCAUAAUCUGAAAAAGCACUUAAUUCUCCAUGGAAAGAACUACAAGGGAUAGCAUCACAGAUGCCUGUACAACCUUCACCUAAACUGACGAAUUCUGGACUGUUGCCACCCCCACUGUGCUGCUCCUUCUGCCUCCCGAGAUACGCACAUCGCCAAUCUCAAGGUGUGGGCAGAACCGAUUUCUUCUGAAGGCCUCUGUUGGUCUGCUGGUAUCUGUGACCAAUACGCUGAGCUCGCUG
Hyaena hyaena (striped hyena) is the source of this 599-nucleotide long non-coding RNA. RefSeq lists it as uncharacterized. The transcript has 2 exons. Lineage: Eukaryota; Metazoa; Chordata; Mammalia; Carnivora; Hyaenidae. The record is from RefSeq and is a predicted model, not a curated record.